GCAGCGUUAGUACAUCGGUAGUGCGCCGGCUUCCCAAGCCGGAUAGGCGGGUCCGAUUCCCGUACGCUGCU
Molecule: transfer RNA, 71 nt
Filed under: Lachnospiraceae bacterium XBD2001
Lineage: Bacteria; Bacillati; Bacillota; Clostridia; Lachnospirales; Lachnospiraceae
Also listed under: 1 other name
Rfam family: tRNA
About the family: Transfer RNA (tRNA) molecules are approximately 80 nucleotides in length.
Source: Rfam by way of RNAcentral